Molecule: long non-coding RNA, 3661 nt
Organism: Zea mays
Lineage: Eukaryota; Viridiplantae; Streptophyta; Magnoliopsida; Poales; Poaceae
Exons: 4
Source: RefSeq, a predicted model, not a curated record
UCUUCUUUUCCCUCUGUCUACCACGCGCGCGCCCGCCGCUACCUGCCUCGCCGCCAGCCCGCCACCAGCGCCUCGCCGCCACCUCGCGCCCGCCCCUCUGCCCCACCGCGCGCCUGGGCAGGGUGGUACCGCGCGGUGCUCGCCAUCAAGCGCCGCUGCGACGAGCAUCUCGACCCGCAGCCGAGGAACCCCUUUCUCGGCGUGCCCAAGUCCUUCCCCGGCGUCAAGCCGGAGCUCUGGGACGGGAUGCGGCCCCGCCUCGCCGCCCUCCGACCCGACGGGCCCAUUUCGUGCCGGUUCCUGGCCGACCUCCCUACCGUGCUUGUAGUGGGCGACUCGAUGUUCGUCCAUGGGGGGCUCCUCGAGGCCAACGUCGAGUACGGCCUUGAGCGGAUCAAUGCGGAGGUCAGCGAGUGGGAGCAGAGGGAAUCCCAUGUGUCCGCCCCUCGCUGGAGUAGAUCCUCGGCGAGCCGGCGUGGAGCUGUCGCGGUAGAAAGCCAGCUGAGCCUGAUCCGCCCGCAGCCCGAUCGGGAUCGAUGGGUGGGGAGGCGCCGGAGCCGCGAUGGCUGACCCGCGCUUUGAGCAUCGGUGGCGGUGACGGCGGCUGGGUUCCCGAAUCCCGAUGAGAUGCUGCAACUUGAGAUGGGGGUUUGUUGAGGACCCGCGCGACCGGGAGGUCGCGUCGCUGGUGUGUCGCCGGUGGCACCGCGUCGACGCGCUCUCGCGGAAGCACGUGACGCUGCCCUUCUGCUAUGCCGUGUCCCCGAAACGCCUGCUCGCGCGGUUCCCGCGGCCCGAGUGGCUCGCGGUGAAGGGGAAGCCCCGCGCGGCCAUGUAGGGGCUCAUCCGUGCCAGGGGGCACAUGCUGCAGGAGCUGAAGCUCGACAAGUGCACCAGCUUCUCCACGGAUGGACUCUGCCCCGUCGACCGCUCAUGCAGGUACUCGUAUUCCUCGAUUCUCCUGCUCUUGUUUUAGCUCCGAUCUGAGUGUUGCAGGAAGUAAGAUCGAAUUGGGGCUACUGAGAUGGUGACAAUAAGGGGGCGUAGCUACUGUCAGUCCAGUCGUUGAUUCCCCGAAAUAUAUAUGUUUUAAUAUGUCAUGCCGCUACUUUAUAUAUUUGUGCCCUAAUUCAUUUGAAUCCCUGUUUUUUUGUUUUAAAAUGUGGUAUUACAUAGGAAAAUAAAUAUAUAUGUUUUAAUAUGUGGCACUUCUCAUAAUGGUACUAGAUUUAGAUGAUUUACUAUCUUUUUUAUAAAGAAAACAACAAGCCACUUCGUUCCUAGUGGAAUUAAUUAUUUCCGAGUAUUGGAUUUAGCUGAAGCUACUUUAGUUUAUCAAUACAUGUAAAUCUUUCUUGUAAUAGCGUGUUAUGAGGUAAGAUGUUCAAAAAGGAUGAAAACGAAAUGAAUUUAAAUAGUUGAUCAAUCUCAUGUUUCCAAUUUUUGAGCGAGUCAAGCAUCUUUAAUUUAAUGAUAUACUAACAUUUUGUGACAUCAACCUUCAUUUUUAGCCUAUUUGUUACAAAAUUGACUACAUGUAACGACACUCUGUUUUCAGUCUUACAAAAUGGUUUCCAUUAUAUGGUAAGUAUAGUGAAUUUUUGGAUGCCCUACUUUAUUUCUGGGAAAUAAUUACCAUGAUUAUCAUGGUAUCUUAUUAUCUUGUCCAUGGAUGUUUUGGGUACAUCAACAUUAGUCAAGUUAGGCCUUGUUUGGAACCUCUAGAGCUAAUAGUUAGCCAGCUAAUAAAUUAUUAGCUGGGUUGAGCUAGCUAAUGAAUUAAUUGUUAGCUUGAGGUUGCUAACAAUUAGCUGUGGUAUUAACUGAUGGUGUUUGGAACCCAACAACUAAUUUUUAGUAGCUAACUAUUAGUUUUAGAGGUUCCAAACAGUGCCUUAAUAAUGUUUUAGUAGUUCUGAAGUGCUUGAUCAGUCCUUGUGUAUCUGACACUAGAUGCUGUAGCAUUAUACCACUGUCGUACAAUAUUUUCAUUACCUCUUUUAGAUUUGACUCCUAGACUGUUGCAGGAAAGGUGACUAUUACCGUUACUUGGCUGAAUUUAGCACUGGAACUGAAAAGAAAGCUGCCUCUGAUCAGUCACUUAUGGCCUAUCAGCAUGCCAUGGUUGUCGCCUCCAGUGAGCUCUCACCUGCUCAUCAAAUCCGGCUUGGCCUUGCCCUCAAUUUGUCAGUCUUCUUUUAUGAGAUAAUGAACUCCCAUGAGAGGUCACUCAUCUUCAAUGCCUUGUUUCUCCCUUUUUAUUGAUGUUUCAAAUUCAUAGAUAUUCCUAUCCAAUCAUAUUUCAUGUUUUGAAAAAUGGGCUUUCUUGCCAAGUGGUGACUAUUUUCAAAUAAACCAUUCACCUGCUGUAGAUGCUUUCUAAGUUAAGUUAUUUUGUUUAAACCUCACGAGACAUUUAUCCAUUUGCACAAUUAAACCUCACAAAUGCAUUGUUUAUUGAAAAAUGCAUGUUACCAUUCGAAUGCACUGGAUGCUAGUUGGGUACAUGAUAGAUUCGUUGGUUCUGGCCUCUCUUUAGAAAGCCAUUUGAUAUUAUGUUAGUUUUUCCCCUCAUGUUGGAAACUGCAUGUUGGCCCCACAUGUUAGAUGUGGUACCAUCCCAGUAUGCUGCUUGACAAGUAACUAGUUUUUAACAGAAUCAAGUUCAGUCUCUAAGUUUCAUGGUCACCUCUCUUUUUCAGAGCUUGCUAAGUGGCAAAACAAGCAUUUGAUGAGGCUCUUACUGAGAUAAAUUCUGGUGAGGGAGUUUACAAGGAUAGCACACUUAUGAUGCAACUUCUGAAGGACAACUUAGCAAUGUGGACAUCAGAACUAACUGGAGGUGAAGCAUCCAAGGGUAACGACGAUGUCGACAUGGAGGGUUGAUUGAUUGGUAUAUAUAUGCUCUCAAGUAAGGAAACACAGAACGCACGCAAAAAUAUCCAGGCUGUGAUGCUAGCGAACCUGGGUCAGGUUCCUCAAGUUUUUUCUGCAUCGGAACUCAGAAGAGCCUUGUGUAUUUUUUUGGAGGUCUGUUCCUCUCUUUUGGCCAUCGUUUGGUCCUGGAGUCAGUCACUCACUACCAAGUGUUUCAAAGGUCUGAACUGGUCAGCAUCCAGAUCUGUUGUUGCUUUUUUUCUACUGUGCUUUAGAGGCAUCUUUGUACACCGUUGGAAAACUGUUUCUCUUAUCAACGCAUAGACUGUCAGUGCUGGUACUAAUCAUGUUUGGUGACUGAAUUUAUUUCUGUGUCUCAGUCCUUUGCGAAUAUCAAAUGGUACUUUGCUACAGGUCCUUGAUAGAUUUUGUUUCUUUUUUCCUUAUCGUGCAGUGGCAAAGGUUAUUUUCAGGGGGCAAAACUAAUGGUUAUAAUUUUUUUUCCAUAGUUGGCAGGUGUAUUUUCAGGGGAUGUUGCUUGAGCCCAAAUGGAUGACAGCAGAAGUGUGAUCUGACGUGCGCUCAGCUUCACCAACACACUGAUUCUUGAAUGCAUUAAGCAUAGUGCACAAGCAGUUAUUCAUGAUAAGAAAUCUUUUGCUCAAAUGUAGCUAAUUAGCACUUCAUACAUUCUGGUACAAUCUCCAAUUCUUGUGAACUUAUGUAUUUGGACUGUCAAUUUGUGAUAUGAAUAUAUAUCAAUGUGUUUGAAAUUUGUAUUGUA